This is a long non-coding RNA of Rattus norvegicus (Norway rat), 2434 nucleotides long. RefSeq lists it as uncharacterized. The record is from RefSeq and is a predicted model, not a curated record. Lineage: Eukaryota; Metazoa; Chordata; Mammalia; Rodentia; Muridae.
UAUAGUGAGCAAUGGUCACUGUCAUAACCAAGGCCAUUUGUAUUGUAAAUCUUUCCAAGGAUAAUCUUACAAACAUGCCACAUCUGAACACUGGUAUAGGGCAAUUUCCUACCACUUCAGCACUGUGCUUUCCCCAGUGGGAACGUCAAAUGGUUAAUGGGCAGUAAUCAGAAAAUGAUUUCGAAUUGAAAUCAGUGUCAGUAUUUCAUUAUAGCUGUUUCAAGGUUUGGUCGUGAAACAGAAGGAGACUGAUUUCUAAAAUGAGGAGGAAAUGAACUCUGUUUACUUCUAUUUUCAGAAGAUUUUUGUUUCUGAAAUUAUUUUUAGUGUUGGUAAAUUAUGCUAAUUGAGACAACAAAAAAAUAAUAUAUUUGGAACUGUGGGAACACAUUUUGCUAAUGGAUAAUUACUUGUUAAACAAGUUUAAAAUUAGACUUAUGUCUUUUAAUAUUGUUUGUUUAUUUAGUAGGAGAAAACCACCCUUAAGGCCAAGCUGAGCAGAGAGAAGGACUCAGUAUCUACCAAUGCUCAUUGAUACUCAUGAAGCAAGGUGGUGGUCCUCAAGGAUUCUUACAUCCGGCUGAGGAUGCGAAGAGAAUUGGCCAGAUCCCUCAGCCACAAUCAGGCCUGGCACUUCCAGGGGCUACAGCAUUCUGCUGAGUAUAACUUCACAGAUCACUUGUACCUGGUAGCGCCUCUUCAGGACCCUGAAUAACUGGACCUGCUAGAUAAGUAAGUGGCACCUGAACAGGGACCUGAAGCACGCCAACUACUGGACAACGGAGACAGGAGAUCCGUGGAAAAACUGAGGACUCUUUAGGCCGCAUUGCUCAUGCGUCGCUGGAGAGGGAGAUCAUGCUGACCAUGUUUCCCUUCAUCUGGAUCCCUGGAAGCAUCAUCACGUCUGCCCUUGCUACAUCGCCUCACCAGAUCUUCAACUAUACCUGGGUGAUUCUUAAUGGCACCAGAGAUGUGGUGUCUGCCAACUCCACCACCGCUGCACAAGUUGCCUGGCCCAAUCUUGAGUUCCUGCAGUUCUGGGAAAGAGGCACCUCCACGUGUACAAAGAGAGAACCCAUCACUGCCGUGACUCUUGCAGUACUCCUAGGCCUGUCAGCUGUGGGGACAGGAACUGGGGUUGCCUCCCUGAUCACCUCCCAACAGAGUUAUUAGCUCAGUGCCACCAUAGACAGGGACAUCAGUGAGCUAUAACAAGGAAUAACCUAUCUUAAAGACUCAGUUGCUUCCUUGGCUAAGGUUGUUCUACAAAAUAGAAGGGGAUUAGAUCUUCUCUUUCUCCAACAGGGAGGGCUCUGUGUGACCCUCAAGGAGUGUUGCUUUUUUUUAUGAAAGUUUACAAAAGAGACAAAGAGAAAGAGAAAAGAGUGAAGCCUGGUAUAAAAACUGGUUUUCUGCCUCUCCCCUGCUCACCACUCUUCUACCCAGUAUCCUGGGUCCCUUUAUAGGACUCCUGCUACUCGUCUCCUUUGGUCCAUGGGUGCUUAGAAAGUUAACUGAUUUUAUCAAGGCCCAGGUAGAUUCACCUACCAAGCAGGUCUCAGUCCAUUACCACCGCCUCCAUUGUGAGGAGGCUGAGACAACCGGGGGGUGUGAUACUCCCCUUGAGUCACCCACAGCUGGCCUCGACUUCUCCACCCUAAAUACAGUCUGUAACUCAGGCUGGAAAAUCAGUUGCUGGUAGAAGUGUCAAUGACAGGAAUAAUAUAGUGCCACAUACCAGGCACACACCUCACCGCUGUGAAGUAACCCUACGAUGGGAUUAGCACAGGUCCAUGAUCUGGGUUGCCCACUCUCACAAAACACACACGUAUAGCCCGGAACAGUGUGUUAAAGCAUAAGAUCGUUCCUAGCCAUUGGGGUGCAGUCCUAAGUGCAAGAGUGGCUCGCCAUGGCCAAGCUGGGCACUCUGUGAGGCAUGUCUGAUCUCUCUCAGACCACUACUUCCACCCUGGUGGAAAUAAUGGAAAUUAAGUGAGAGUGCCAGACGUGAGGGCAACCUGUGUAGCCUAAGACACGGGGCUUCAUCGACCAGGUGCUGGUUGUGGAUGCACACCAUAUAGACAGAACUUCCUCCCACUGAUAGUUAAGGAAAGGUGGAGAUGUCGGGGACCGGACGUCUGAACUAAGCAAAGCUAGAGCCCUGCCCUGAGCAGAUCCCUGAGAAGGGCUUGACCUUUUCAAAGAAUAUGUCCCCGGAAGACUGUUGCCUCUUUGUCUAAGGAGGAUAUCUUGCAGUUUAAUGAUUCACCUUAUGUCCUUGGGCACUUCCCAGUGCCCACCACCACCACCACCACCACCACCACCACCACCACCACCACCCCGCCGCCCUAAGCUUCAGUUCCUGCUUCAAUUCCUGCUUCAGAGCUCUAAAUGCUGUACAUUCCUCUCAAUAAACAAGACCUUGACAACAGAA